UCUACUCUCACCAGUGCAAGCCUAGCCAAGGCCAAGCCACUACUUCCAUAAUGGCGUGUGUGCGGGAAAAUUGUGCUUCUCUAUUACAGAAAAGUUGUAUGUAUUGCAUUUUGUAGCCAUUUUGGAAACAGCUUUAUACUGCACGCUGCAUGUGGAUCCACGCCUCGAUGCUGGUAGAACUGUCUGGGCUUGCGGACUACGACAUGUGUUACUGCUUCCGAAGGUUGUGCUGAAGAAGCGGCCAUUGAAAUCAGGAUGUGCAUCUGGAAACCUGCAACUACAGGAGAAACAUGCAGUGCUGCACGCAGAAAAUGUGAGGACAGAUGGGGAAGACCUCUGUUCACAAAUUCAUGAAGAAAAUGUCAAGGUCUUGAAACUUCAACCCUAGGAUACAGCAUCAUCAACAGAGCCCAGUCCACUGGUUGGGCAUCUGCAGUCAUCCAUCCCCUGGCAUGCGUAAAGACGUCGCUGUACAGGACCACCGGCUGUGCGAACUGCCAGAGGACGCAAGGGAAUUCCUCCCGAUUCUUUUUGCAUCUUCAGUCCUGUCCAUCUUGCUGCCAGUGACCCUUGAAGAAUGCUUCUGCCUCUCAGGAGAAUUCAGCCUUAGCUGAUAACAGAAGCCCAUAGGUGGGAUCGAUGUACCUGACAGCACUGUCACUCAACCCAGAGUCCAAGUCAACAACUGCCAGUGGUGACUGUGUCAACUGUGGAGCAACUUCCUUGGUGUUCAUUUCUUGCUCCUCUGUCUCUGCAGUGAG
Molecule: long non-coding RNA, 761 nt
Organism: Ornithodoros turicata
Lineage: Eukaryota; Metazoa; Arthropoda; Arachnida; Ixodida; Argasidae
Exons: 4
Source: RefSeq, a predicted model, not a curated record